Long non-coding RNA from Vespula pensylvanica (western yellowjacket), 500 nucleotides. RefSeq lists it as uncharacterized. The transcript has 4 exons. Lineage: Eukaryota; Metazoa; Arthropoda; Insecta; Hymenoptera; Vespidae. The record is from RefSeq and is a predicted model, not a curated record.
AACAAAGAAAGAUGUUAAUAUUAACAUGUUUCGGUUUCCAAGUCAUACAAGUUAUCCCUGAAGGCAUUUUAAUAUAACCAAUUGGCUGAAGAGUAGGGUACAUCUAAAAAGUGGAUUAUAUUACCAGAAGCAAAAAUAAUUGUAUUUGGAUCGGCUACACAAAAAUUAAAAUACUUCUGGCAAUCAUAUGAAAAAGAAUAACUAUUGAGUAGUGUUAAGGAAUUAAGAAAAUAAAUACAGAAUAAAUCAAAGUCAUAGUUUGAAGUCUCAUGGAAGGAUACUCAAACUCUAAAAUAUUUAUAGAUUCUAUAUUUUGGAAAUGCUAUCAUUAAUUUUAAAUAUUGAAAAUUUGCGGUCAAGUUUGGAACCAAUCGCGCCAACGUGGGUCCUACCUAACCUAUUCAAAUGAAAGAAGGAUCAAAUUCAAAGGCCAAUUCGAAUUCAUGUUAUAGAAGAAAUAAUAAAACGGAUCAUUAUUAAGAGGAAGAAUUGGAUUAUUG